AGUCAUACCUUGUAGGGGAAAUACCAUGUUGUAAAAAUGGUUUUCCCAGGGAGAGGCUCAUCCAUUGCACUUUAGGUGUGUUGUUGACCCUUGUGAUUUCCCCAAAUGUGGGGAACUUAACUACAUAAUUUGUGUUAAUGGGGGAAUUAUGUUUGUGAUUUCUCUG
Small nuclear RNA from Pogona vitticeps (central bearded dragon), 166 nucleotides. Its record names the gene U1. It matches the Rfam family "U1 spliceosomal RNA". From Rfam's summary of the family: U1 is a small nuclear RNA (snRNA) component of the spliceosome (involved in pre-mRNA splicing). Lineage: Eukaryota; Metazoa; Chordata; Lepidosauria; Squamata; Agamidae. The record is from Ensembl.